Ornithorhynchus anatinus (platypus) is the source of this 138-nucleotide small nucleolar RNA. The record is from RefSeq and is a predicted model, not a curated record. NCBI's taxonomy places the organism in Eukaryota, Metazoa, Chordata, Mammalia, Monotremata, Ornithorhynchidae.
ACCCUCUCAGGGUGGCACCUGGAGAGUUUCCAGUCCUCUACCAGGCUCGACUACGGGAGGGAGAGUCAAGCAGAGGCCCGUCCGUUCCAUUCUUAGCUUGGCCAGUGGCUAGCGAGUGGAAGACAAUCUGUUACAAGU